CCUACGGGAGGCAGCAGUGGGGAAUCUUGCGCAAUGGGCGAAAGCCUGACGCAGCCAUGCCGCGUGGAUGAUGAAGGUCUUAGGAUUGUAAAAUCCUUUCAGCGGGGACGAUAAUGACGGUACCCGCAGAAGAAGCCCCGGCUAACUUCGUGCCAGCAGCCGCGGUAAU
RNAcentral lists this ribosomal RNA (169 nucleotides) under uncultured bacterium. RNAcentral's name for it is "partial 16S ribosomal RNA". It matches the Rfam family "Bacterial small subunit ribosomal RNA", at positions 338 to 524 of the family's 1533-position model. The record is from RNAcentral.